This 366-nucleotide long non-coding RNA is filed under the name Trifolium pratense (red clover). Its description in RNAcentral is "long non-coding RNA (TPRA_LNC008162)". Lineage: Eukaryota; Viridiplantae; Streptophyta; Magnoliopsida; Fabales; Fabaceae. The record is from RNAcentral.
UGGGGUAGGGGUACUAGAGAACUAAAAAAAAAAUAUGAUAAUAAUAACAAGAGACUCACAAAAAUAAUUGAGUUUUCUUCAAAAAAUAAAGAGCCAUUAAUCAUGAAAAAUAGUGGCAUCUACAAAAAAAAAAGAAAAAAAAAUUGAAAGAUAAGUUCUCUAGGUACCUUAUUAACAAUGAAUUUAGCCCUGAUAAUGGUAAUGCUUCAACAAGGAAUAGUAGUGGAUACCUAACUCCAAUUUAGCCUACUUUUCCUAAAAUUAUCCCACCAUUUACCCAAGCCAAGUUAUAACCCUCAAGACCUCAAAAAUGUGUGUGAUGUAUUUACUUUGAUUGACGUUUAGAAUUUUUUCAAGCUUAUGGUA